This 250-nucleotide ribosomal RNA is filed under the name uncultured bacterium. RNAcentral's name for it is "partial 16S ribosomal RNA". It matches the Rfam family "Bacterial small subunit ribosomal RNA", at positions 524 to 773 of the family's 1533-position model. The record is from RNAcentral.
UACGGAGGGUGCAAGCAUUGAUCGGAAUGACUGGGCGUAAAGGGCGCGUAGGCGGUAGGGCAAGUCAGAUGUGAAAUUCCAUGGCUCAACCAUGGAGCGGCAUCUGAAACUACCCUGCUCGAGCAUAGCUAGGGAAAACGGAAUUCCACAUGUAGCGGUGAAAUGCGUAGAUAUGUGGAAGAACACCAGUGGUGAAGACGGUUUUCUGGGCUAUUGCUGACGCUGAGGCGCGAAAGCUAGGGGAGCAAAC